GGGCGGUUAGCUCAGGUGGUCAGAGCGCUGGUCUCACAUACCAGAGGUCACAGGUUCGAAUCCUGUACUGCCCACCA
This 77-nucleotide transfer RNA is filed under the name Pseudomonadota bacterium. Its description in RNAcentral is "tRNA-Val". It matches the Rfam family "tRNA". From Rfam's summary of the family: Transfer RNA (tRNA) molecules are approximately 80 nucleotides in length. Their secondary structure includes four short double-helical elements and three loops (D, anti-codon, and T loops). Further hydrogen bonds mediate the characteristic L-shaped molecular structure. tRNAs have two regions of fundamental functional importance: the anti-codon, which is responsible for specific mRNA codon recognition, and the 3' end, to which the tRNAs corresponding amino acid is attached (by aminoacyl-tRNA synthetases). tRNAs cope with the degeneracy of the genetic code in two manners: having more than one tRNA (with a specific anti-codon) for a particular amino acid; and 'wobble' base-pairing, i.e. permitting non-standard base-pairing at the 3rd anti-codon position. Lineage: Bacteria; Pseudomonadati; Pseudomonadota. RNAcentral also lists the same sequence under 2 other names. The record is from RNAcentral.